CGGCGGACGGGUGAGUAAGCGUGGGUAACCUGCCUCAUACAGGGGGAUAACAGUUAGAAAUGACUGCUAAUACCGCAUAAGACCACGGUACCGCAUGGUACAGUGGUAAAAACUCCGGUGGUAUGAGAUGGACCCGCGUCUGAUUAGGUAGUUGGUGGGGUAACGGCCUACCAAGCCGACGAUCAGUAGCCGACCUGAGAGGGUGACCGGCCACAUUGGGACUGAGACACGGCCCAG
This 237-nucleotide ribosomal RNA is filed under the name uncultured bacterium. RNAcentral describes it as "partial 16S ribosomal RNA". It matches the Rfam family "Bacterial small subunit ribosomal RNA", at positions 96 to 334 of the family's 1533-position model. The record is from RNAcentral.